This 115-nucleotide ribosomal RNA is filed under the name Diaphorina citri (Asian citrus psyllid). The record is from RNAcentral. Lineage: Eukaryota; Metazoa; Arthropoda; Insecta; Hemiptera; Psyllidae.
GCCAGUACCUAUAGCACGUUCAAUGCAGCAGUUUCUAAUAGAUCACUGAAGUUAAGCAAUGUUGCGCGUGAUUAGUAUCCGUGUCGGUGACCAUCUGGACAAUCCCGUGCUGGCC